Molecule: non-coding RNA, 81 nt
Organism: Desmophyllum pertusum
Lineage: Eukaryota; Metazoa; Cnidaria; Anthozoa; Scleractinia; Caryophylliidae
Source: the annotation of a GenBank genome assembly
AAUGCAGUGGCGUAAUGGUUAGUGCGUUGGACUCCAGAUCGAGUGGUCCAGGUUUGAGCCCUGGCCUGGGUCACUGUGUUG